Molecule: ribosomal RNA, 471 nt
Filed under: uncultured bacterium
Lineage: Bacteria
Description: bacterial SSU rRNA
Rfam family: Bacterial small subunit ribosomal RNA
Source: RNAcentral
AAUCAACGCUGGCGGCGUGCCUAACACAUGCAAGUCGAACGCGAAAGCCCCGCAAGGGGGUGAGUAGAGUGGCAAACGGGUGAGUAACACGUGGGUGAUCUGCCUCAGAGUGGGGGAUAACGACCCGAAAGGGUCGCUAAUACCGCAUAACAUCCUGCCUUUGGAUAGGUGGCGAUCAAAGUUGGGGAUCCGCAAGGACCUGACGCUUGGAGAGGAGCCCGCGGCCGAUUAGCAGUUGGUGAGGUAACGGCUCACCAAGGCAACGAUCGGUAUCCGGCCUGAGAGGGCGGACGGACACACUGGGACUGAGACACGGCCCAGACUCCUACGGGAGGCAGCAGUGGGGAAUUGUUCGCAAUGGGCGCAAGCCUGACGACGCAACGCCGCGUGGAGGACGAAGAUUUCGGAUCGUAAACUCCUUUCGAUCGGGAAGAACAGCUCCUGGGUUAAUAGCCUGAGAGUCUGACGGUA